Long non-coding RNA from Polyodon spathula (Mississippi paddlefish), 1006 nucleotides. RefSeq lists it as uncharacterized. The record is from RefSeq and is a predicted model, not a curated record. NCBI's taxonomy places the organism in Eukaryota, Metazoa, Chordata, Actinopteri, Acipenseriformes, Polyodontidae. The transcript has 3 exons.
GAAAUGCAUGUCUGCCAGUAAAAAAUCUGCCUUUAACAUUAAACAGCUGUGCCAGUACCAGCAGCUGACCGAGAGUGAGGGUCUGAACUUGACUGGGAUGGAAAAUUCCAGUCCCGCUCCCAGAUCGUGGCUAAUAUGCUUCUCAUCUCAUUUGCCUCGACCCCCACUGAUCCAUCAGAAGGAAUUGGACACUUCAACACAAAACUAACGCUACACCCCUCCUGUGUGCUGUAUAAAAAGAUAUGAUUGACGAGAAAGCUCUUCGGGACAAUGAUACAGUAGUGGUUGUGUUGAAGGCAUUUCCAGAGAGAGAGAGAGAGAGAGAUGCAGUUAUUAAAAGCUGUCCUGCAUAUUUAAAGUAACAGGGCACAGUCACAGGCCACCUCUUCACGUAAAGCUGUCAGCCUGAGAAAACACAAGUGCCUCGCUUCAGUGAAAAUGUCAGCCCAGUCACGCAGCAGAAAUGGAUUUACACAGAUCCCAACAAGAGCGCUUACUGAGUGCCUGGCCCGGGGCCGUGUCUGCGCUUAGUGGAGUUCACAACCUGGAGCCGCAGUCACACAGAGGGUGACACGUUUAAACAGACCUCAAGUCAGCCAGUGAGAAAGACAGAGUCUCAUGAGAAGAGCAGUCUGAAACACCCUUCUUUUAUUAACGGGACACAUUUAAUUAGAUGCAAUAUGCUGUUGUAUAAAAAUAAACUUGGUCAUAAAAUUGUUGUGAGCUGUAGCUAUUGCAAGAUUCGUUGCAGUACUGCAUGGGGACUCAAGGCGUUUACUCCAGUCCUGUCAUUUAUCUACUUGCUUCUUUUAAGGUGAAAGCUCAUGAUCAUGUUACAAACUGAUACGACUGCUCAAGAAACCUUUUAAAGAAAUAGAAUACUUUGUUUUUUACGUCCAGUUUUGUUAAAUUUAAACUGCUGUAUUUUACUGUUCAUGUGACUUUGCCGUCAGAAUCAGGCUCUCUGUGUAAUGGAGCAUGUAAAGAAUAAACUUUGGGCCUGGUA